UACGGAGGGUGCAAGCGUUAUCCGGAUUCACUGGGUUUAAAGGGUGCGUAGGUGGGCAAGUAAGUGAGUGGUGAAAUCUCCGGGCUUAACCCGGAAACUGCCAUUGAUACUAUUUGUCUUGAAUACUGUGGAGGUCAGCGGAAUAUAUCAUGUAGCGGUGAAAUGCUUAGAUAUGACAUAGAACACCAAUUGCGAAGGCAGCUGGCUACACAAAUAUUGACACUGAGGCACGAAAGCGUGGGGAUCAAACAGG
Molecule: ribosomal RNA, 253 nt
Filed under: uncultured bacterium
Lineage: Bacteria
Description: partial 16S ribosomal RNA
Rfam family: Bacterial small subunit ribosomal RNA
Source: RNAcentral